Molecule: ribosomal RNA, 465 nt
Filed under: uncultured bacterium
Lineage: Bacteria
Description: partial 16S ribosomal RNA
Rfam family: Bacterial small subunit ribosomal RNA
Source: RNAcentral
CCUACGGGAGGCAGCAGUAGGGAAUCUUCCACAAUAGGCGAAAGCCUGAUGGAGCAACGCUGCGUGGGUGAAGAAGGUCUUCGGAACGUAAAACUCUGUUGUUAGAGAAGAAAGUGCGUGAGAGUAACUGUUCACGUUUCGACGGUAUCUAACCAGAAAGCCACGGCUAACUACGUGCCAGCAGCCGCGGUAAUACGUAGGUGGCAAGCGUUAUCCGGAUUUAUUGGGCGUAAAGGGAACGCAGGCGGUCUGUUAAGUCUGAUGUGAAAGCCUUCGGCUUAACCGGAGUAGUGCAUUGGAAACGGGGUGUCUUGAGUGCAGAAGAGGAGAGUGGAACGCCAUGUGUAGCGGUGAAAUGCGUAGAUAUAUGGAAGAACACCAGUGGCGAAAGCGGCUCUCUGGUCUGUAACUGACGCUGAGGUUCGAAAGCGUGGGUAGCAAACAGGAUUAGAUACCCUAGUAGUC